Molecule: ribosomal RNA, 483 nt
Filed under: Astrosyne radiata
Lineage: Eukaryota; Bacillariophyta; Fragilariophyceae; Cyclophorales; Cyclophoraceae
Description: partial Bacterial small subunit ribosomal RNA
Rfam family: Bacterial small subunit ribosomal RNA
Source: RNAcentral
GCUUAACACAUGCAAGUCGAGCGCCCUGCUUGCAGGGAGCGGCAGACGGGUGAGUAACGCGUGGGAACGUGCCUAUUGGUUCGGAAUAGCCCCGGGAAACUGGGUUUAAUACCGAAUGUGCCCUUCGGGGGAAAGAUUUAUCGCCAAUAGAUCGGCCCGCGUUAGAUUAGCUAGUUGGUGGGGUAAAAGCUUACCAAGGCUACGAUCUAUAGCUGGUCUGAGAGGAUGAUCAGCCACACUGGGACUGAGACACGGCCCAGACUCCUACGGGAGGCAGCAGUGAGGAAUCUUGGACAAUGGGGGAAACCCUGAUCCAGCCAUGCCGCGUGAGUGAAGAAGGCCCUAGGGUUGUAAAGCACUUUCAGUAGGGAGGAAAAAGCACGGUUAAUACCCGUGUCAUAUGACGUUACCUACAGAAGAAGUACCGGCUAACUCCGUGCCAGCAGCCUCGGUAAGACGGAGGAUGCAAGUGUUAUCCGGAAU